Molecule: long non-coding RNA, 930 nt
Filed under: Musa acuminata (dwarf banana)
Lineage: Eukaryota; Viridiplantae; Streptophyta; Magnoliopsida; Zingiberales; Musaceae
Description: long non-coding RNA (MACU_LNC002328)
Source: RNAcentral
CUGCAAUUACCCAAAGAAAAAGAAGAAUGUAGUGUUGAUAAUGCUAUCAUCCACAUAACUCUUUAUUUUUGUAAAGAACUCAGAAAGUGUAACUUAAAUUUGAUAUGAAUUUUUUGAUCUGUAUGAUUCUUUAAAAACAGAAAAUAGAAAGAUUUUGUGGCCAUCACGAACAAUAGGCAUCUUCGGUGAGAUGCAUAUAUACUCCAUUCAUGGACGUGCUCAGAAGGCAACUAAUUUAUAGGUCAUAUGAGGUAAGUAUACGAAGGAAAAAAGGUUAAAACACCACGAACAUGAGUCGACAAUUACUUCUGUCGAGGUCUCUGCAUGCAUCAUACUUCCAAAUUUCAGAAGGAAACAUAAAUGUUUCUUGUAGAUGCUGAUAUUUCCAUUUGAAAGGAGAAUGAUCAAAGAAGUAUUCAUCUGUGUUUGCACAAUGCUUUAUUUGAAAUAUGUUUUGCUUUUUGCGUGAAUUACUCUAUUACCAGCUAAUGCAACUAAUUUAUAGGUCAUAUGAGAUAAGUAUAGGAAGAAAAAAAGGUUAAAGCACCACAAACAAAAAUCGACAGUCAUUUCUGUCGAGGUCUCUGCAUGCAUCAAACUUGCAAAUUUCAGAAGGAAACCUAAAAUGUUUUUUGUAGUUGCUGAUAUUUCCAUUUGAAAGGAGAAUGAUCAAAGAAGUAUUCAUCUGUGUUUGCACACUGCCCUAUUUGAAAUAUGGUUUGCCUUUUGCAUGAACUACUCUAUUACCAGCUAAUGUCCUACAAGAGAGGAGAAGGUUCUCCUUGUCACUGAGGUUGGAAUUGUCUUGAUGAUGAUAGUUUUGAUAACAUGUGAAGGCCUAGCACAGCAGAUACAACUUAUAGAAAAUUCAAGGCCUUGGAAGAUACCAAAUUUCAGAAAUAUUCAUGAAUAGAAAAGGUCACAACUUAC